GCACAUGUUUAAUUCCCUCGAAACGAGGGGGGAGAACACAGACAACUUGCAGAGAUCCUGAAAUUUAAAAAAGAGCAGAAAAUGCUGGAAAAACUCAGGUCUACGAGCAUCUCUGGAGAGAAAAACAAAAGUUAACGUUUCGAGUCCGUCUGACGCUUCUUUCCACUACCCUGGCAGAGAUCCUGGAUGUUCUUAGCACUCGACGUGGCCCUAAGGAAUCUUAAACCGGCUCAGUGAACCUGACAUUUCAGAACCACUUUCAAGGAGUCAUUCGGGGGCCAGAGAAGCAGAGGACAACAGACCUGGUUGCAACCUGAUUGGAGAAGGGCUAUAAAUUGAUGCCGAGCAUUGGGGCCUUCACUUACCUGCAGUCAUGGACCGGAGAAGCAGAGGACAGUUGACUUGGGUGUAACCUGAUCGGAGAAGGGCUGUAAAUCGACGCCUAGUCUCGGUGCCUUCACUUACCUGCAGUCGGGGACUGGAGAAGCACUCCACUCCACUCAGCUACUGGAUUGAAGAAACAGUGAAAAAAGCAACAAAUUGUGACAUCACAGGAAACCCUGAAUUUGGUGCUGUGACUCGGAUGACUACGCCGCUCUGAAGGGAAGCCAGUUUGAAGGCGAGGCGUCUAAAGGAGACUGCCACAGCUGAAAGCCUUGAAGGGGACUCCCAGAGGAGGGGCAACUUUAUCCGAUCUUGAAGGUGUUGCAAGUUGCUGCAGGAAAAAGGACCUGAAGGGUAAAGGUAAAAGCAGCACAAAAGACACCAGGAGAUUUCUGGUGCCACACGCUAGAACCAGGCGAGUGGGUCCUUGUGAAAGUACACAAAAGAAAAGAUUCCCUUAAGUCCAGAUGGGAAGGACCCUAUCAACUGACAACCAGAACAGAGGUAAAUUGCGAAAGAAAAGGUACUUGGAUACACGUCUCUCACUGCAAGCAAAUACCAGCUCCAGAGGAAAGCUAAUUGAGUUUGAAUACUGUUAAGUAAAUCGUAAGAAACUGUAAGUAAUUAUGCUACUCUUGUGUCUGUUUAUGGUUGGGCUGGUAGGCUGUGGGGCUAAGGUGAGUGAAGAGGGAAGUGAUGAAUGUAACAAGGCACAGAAAAAUAGCAAAUUGUACUUUUGCAGUAAGUCAUCAACGUCCCAGCAAUUUAGCAAUUUUAAAUGCAUUAGCAACCACAAUGGUAAUUGUUGGAAUUGCACUCUCCAACCUGCAGUCGGGGGAAAGACUGAUCUAACAAAGAUUGAGUGCUGCCCAGAUGGUAAAAUCAAAAUAAUCAAUGGAAAAAGUUACCCUGACCCACCUUAUGUGCCCUAGUCAACAACUUUGGCCCUAACUGCGUCUUUAACUACUUCACCUACCCCAACAGAAACAACUACUAUGGCAGCCCCGGAAUGUCUUAAAAAAUGAGUCAGAGGUAACACCACUAAACACAGGAUUGGUAAUAAUCCCAGAGAAGGAAAAAGUUAUCAUCAUAUCAAGAUAUACACAUGUCAAAACAGUGGUAAACCUAACGAAACUUAACAUGCCCGAAUGGUGCCCCAGUCAGUUAAGAAGACUACAUACCAAACUACUGAAGGAAGAAAUACAGAAUAAAGGGCUGAAAAUGGAAGUCAAAUAUGAAGUUAAGAACUAUGUGUGCUCAAAAGGCAGCAAAGUAUUGUUAAAUGGGAAGGAGUGUACAAGCCUGUACCCAAGUUGAGGACAGUCCUCACGGACAUGAGAUCAGAGAGUGUCAAAGCCCCCAUAACAGGGUUAACUCUGGAGAAUGUCCCUCAGCAGAAGAAAGAAAGGUUGAAGUAAGCUGAAAAAAAAGGAACUGUAACAGCCUUGCCUGUCACUAAACUGAGGAAGCCGAAAAGAGGUAUCUUAGAGGUAGCAGGAAUCGGAUAUGCGGCAGAAACAGCCACAGAUACUUUAGACAUAGGCACAUUACAAACAGAACUUGAAAAACUAAAGGCUCACAUGGAACAGAUAAUUCAGGAGCAAAAUGAUGACUAGAGAGAAGCAGCCCAGACUAGUGAACAGUUGACUGUCCUUUUCCAGGAAGGUUUGAAACGCCUGAAACCAGUAACCAACACAAUAAAUUAACAGAGAAGAGAGUGAAGAAAGGAAUGAAACAAGGGAUGCUGUAUGCACCUUUAUACAGGUCUUGGGUUCUGGCUCAAGUAGAUAAAAACUUGUUGCAGCUUAAAAAUCACCAGGUGCCAGAUUGGAUAAGGGAAGCGACUUUACGAAAAUGGGCGCUAGGGUCAUCCCUAGCAAAUGUUGAUGUCCGAGACGUCUCUCGAGCCACCCGCAUCCCCCACCUUAAGAGCAGCAACAAAAAGAAAGAAACAAUAAUCCUGGGAAUGCUUCUGCACAUACCCAAAAGCAAACAUGAUGCACUGAGAUCUCGACUAUAUCGACUAGGAAAUCUCGGCUGGGUGAAGAAAAGGACGUGGUUAGCGGUCCCAGAAACCCCAAAAUGGGCAGUAGUAAUGAAAAACACAGCAAAAGGAUUACAAAGAGAUAGGUGCCAGAAAAUGGAAGGCAAAUGGCUGUGCCCAGACUAUGCCCUCAUGAAUGAGAAAAUGUGCGGUUUACACCACUGGAAAGACUGUAAAAUACAUGUUAACCCCACUGUACAUAAUGGUUUGUACUUUGUUAAAACACACAACGCAACUCACUAUUAUGUGGUGACCACAAAUUUAACUUACCUUGUACGAAACAAGACUUGUGCCUUACCAGAUUAUAAUGUGAUAAUCAAGAACCCCCGGAACAACUAACCUUUGGAAGCAAUAAUAUAGACCCAUUAACAAAGGACGCGGAGAUAGAAAUAGAAGCAAACAUCGUAAAAAUGAAUAAUGAUACCGAAGUACGUAAGAUUGUAUCAGAUCUGUUGCCAACUAUCCCACCAUUGAAUGUGGAUUGGGAACAAUUGAUAAAGGAAGCAAAAAAAACUGUGAGCCACAAAUGGAGUGAAAUUGAAUAAAAGAUUAAAACGGACAAAGACAAAGCUGAAGAACUACUCAAGAAGGAUUCUCUCUUCUAGGAGGUUUGGAACUGGGGAAUGAAUGUGAAUAUACAUCCUUGGUUAAGAAUUCUCUCCCAUGUCUUGGUCAUUGUUCAGAUUUUGAUCAUAAUUUUAAUAAUCUUGGUGUGCCCUAAUAAGGAGAGAAUAAAACACAAAAGGGGGGACUAAGAAAGAAAACAUUGAUGGAUAAGAAAUAAGGAAAUAAGCUAAGAAAAUAGCCAGAUUGUCUCACAGCCUGCCUCUACUCAACAGCAGACAAACAGGAGCAAGUCAUAAAUAUUAACAUCCUGAAAGUGUUUAACUUGUACCUUAUGUACGAGCAAGUAAAGAGUGAAUUGAACAAUGAAGUGUUUCUCUAUGUCACUAAGUAAUAAAUUGUAAGAUUUGUGUGAAAACCAAGGAAGUAUUCUUGGUUUAUAGCCAAAAUCAAAUGUACUUUGUGCACAAUUAGUUGUGUAAGUAUGGUGGCCAGUUUGUUUUUUAAUUUGCCGUUCUGUUUUUUGUAACUUCCCGAAUCUAUGUCCUGUAGAUUGUUGAUUGUGGUCUAAUUGGAGGUAACAUGUAUUUGUAAAACUGUCUGUCUUGUACUUGAUGUAAAACAAAAACAGA
Molecule: long non-coding RNA, 3624 nt
Organism: Carcharodon carcharias (great white shark)
Lineage: Eukaryota; Metazoa; Chordata; Chondrichthyes; Lamniformes; Lamnidae
Exons: 4
Source: RefSeq, a predicted model, not a curated record